AAAUUGAAGAGUUUGAUCAUGGCUCAGAUUGAACGCUGGCGGCAGGCCUAACACAUGCAAGUCGAACGGUAGCACAGAGAGCUUGCUCUCGGGUGACGAGUGGCGGACGGGUGAGUAAUGUCUGGGAAACUGCCCGAUGGAGGGGGAUAACUACUGGAAACGGUAGCUAAUACCGCAUAACGUCGCAAGACCAAAGUGGGGGACCUUCGGGCCUCACACCAUCGGAUGUGCCCAGAUGGGAUUAGCUAGUAGGUGGGGUAACGGCUCACCUAGGCGACGAUCCCUAGCUGGUCUGAGAGGAUGACCAGCCACACUGGAACUGAGACACGGUCCAGACUCCUACGGGAGGCAGCAGUGGGGAAUAUUGCACAAUGGGCGCAAGCCUGAUGCAGCCAUGCCGCGUGUAUGAAGAAGGCCUUCGGGUUGUAAAGUACUUUCAGCGAGGAGGAAGGCGUUGUGGUUAAUAACCACAGCGAUUGACGUUACUCGCAGAAGAAGCACCGGCUAACUCCGUGCCAGCAGCCGCGGUAAUACGGAGGGUGCAAGCGUUAAUCGGAAUUACUGGGCGUAAAGCGCACGCAGGCGGUUUGUUAAGUCAGAUGUGAAAUCCCCGGGCUCAACCUGGGAACUGCAUUUGAAACUGGCAAGCUUGAGUCUCGUAGAGGGGGGUAGAAUUCCAGGUGUAGCGGUGAAAUGCGUAGAGAUCUGGAGGAAUACCGGUGGCGAAGGCGGCCCCCUGGACAAAGACUGACGCUCAGGUGCGAAAGCGUGGGGAGCAAACAGGAUUAGAUACCCUGGUAGUCCACGCCGUAAACGAUGUCUACUUGGAGGUUGUGCCCUUGAGGCGUGGCUUCCGGAGCUAACGCGUUAAGUAGACCGCCUGGGGAGUACGGCCGCAAGGUUAAAACUCAAAUGAAUUGACGGGGGCCCGCACAAGCGGUGGAGCAUGUGGUUUAAUUCGAUGCAACGCGAAGAACCUUACCUGGUCUUGACAUCCACGGAAGUUUUCAGAGAUGAGAAUGUGCCUUCGGGAACCGUGAGACAGGUGCUGCAUGGCUGUCGUCAGCUCGUGUUGUGAAAUGUUGGGUUAAGUCCCGCAACGAGCGCAACCCU
This 1113-nucleotide ribosomal RNA is filed under the name Salmonella enterica subsp. enterica serovar Kentucky. RNAcentral's name for it is "bacterial SSU rRNA". It matches the Rfam family "Bacterial small subunit ribosomal RNA", at positions 1 to 1105 of the family's 1533-position model. Lineage: Bacteria; Pseudomonadati; Pseudomonadota; Gammaproteobacteria; Enterobacterales; Enterobacteriaceae. The record is from RNAcentral.